Molecule: unclassified non-coding RNA, 197 nt
Filed under: rhizosphere metagenome
Description: partial ribosomal RNA internal transcribed spacer region
Source: RNAcentral
AGAGGCCGAAAGGCUACUUGAAACCAUCGCGAACCCAUCCAUGUUGCUUCGGCGGCGCGGUGCCCCCCCGGGGGCGCCGCAGCCCGGCCUCUCCGGAGGUCUGGCACCCGCCGGAGGUCCUAAACUCUCUGUAUUAUAGUGGCAUCUCUGAUUAAAAUAAAUAAGUUAAAACUUUCAACAACGGAUCUCUUGGCUCU